RNAcentral lists this ribosomal RNA (435 nucleotides) under uncultured bacterium. RNAcentral describes it as "partial 16S ribosomal RNA". It matches the Rfam family "Bacterial small subunit ribosomal RNA", at positions 29 to 507 of the family's 1533-position model. The record is from RNAcentral.
AGCGAACGCUGGCGGCAGGCUUAACACAUGCAAGUCGAACGGGCUUCUUCGGAAGUCAGUGGCAGACGGGUGAGUAACACGUGGGAACGUGCCCUUCGGUUCGGAAUAACUCAGGGAAACUUGAGCUAAUACCGGAUACGCCCUUUUGGGGAAAGGUUGACUGCCGCAGGAUCGGCCCGCGUCUGAUUAUCUUGUUGGUGGGGUAACGGCCUACCAAGGCGACGAUCAGUAGCUGGUCUGAGAGGAUGAUCAGCCACACUGGGACUGAGACACGGCCCAGACUCCUACGGGAGGGAGCAGUGGGGAAUAUUGGACAGUGGGCGCAAGCCUGAUCCAGCCAUGCCGGGUGAGUGAUGAAGGCCUUAGGGUUGUAAAGCUCUUUUGUCCGGGACGAUAAUGACGGUACCGGAAGAAUAAGCCCCGGCUAACUUCGUG